Molecule: ribosomal RNA, 440 nt
Filed under: uncultured bacterium
Lineage: Bacteria
Description: partial 16S ribosomal RNA
Rfam family: Bacterial small subunit ribosomal RNA
Source: RNAcentral
CCUACGGGAGGCAGCAGUGGGGGAUAUUGCACAAUGGGGGAAACCCUGAUGCAGCGACGCCGCGUGUGGGAAGACGGUCUUCUGGAUUGUAAACCACUGUCCCCAGGGACGAAAAUGACGGUACCUGGGGAGGAAGCUCCGGCUAACUACGUGCCAGCAGCCGCGGUAAUACGUAGGGAGCAAGCGUUGUCCGGAAUUACUGGGUGUAAAGGGAGCGUAGGCGGGGAUGCAAGUUGGGGGUAAAAACUACCGGCUCAACCGAUAGUCGUACUCAAAACUGCAGCUCUUGAGUGAAGUAGAGGCAGGCGGAAGUCCUAGUGUAGCGGUGAAAUGCGUAGAUAUUAGGAGGAACACCAGUGGCGAAGGCGGCCUGCUGGGCUUUUACUGACGCUGAGGCUCGAAAGUGUGGGGAGCAAACAGGAUUAGAUACCCGAGUAGUC